UCAGAUCACCUCUUGGCUGUGAG
This 23-nucleotide microRNA is filed under the name Chrysemys picta (Painted turtle). Its description in RNAcentral is "cpi-miR-2970-3p". Lineage: Eukaryota; Metazoa; Chordata; Testudines; Emydidae. The record is from miRBase by way of RNAcentral.